This 1682-nucleotide long non-coding RNA is filed under the name Macaca mulatta (Rhesus monkey). RNAcentral describes it as "lncRNA (ENSMMUG00000040878.2)". Lineage: Eukaryota; Metazoa; Chordata; Mammalia; Primates; Cercopithecidae. The record is from RNAcentral.
AUCAAACCUUUUUUCAUGACCUACCAUUGUCAUGUCUCAUCUGGGCUAUUGUGACAUCCUCUAACUUGUCUAUUCCAAACAGAGUUGCUAUUAUGACACUUUUAAAGCAUAUGCCAAAUAAUAUUCCUCUGCACAAAAAGUCUCAUUCUUAGCCAAAGCUAACAUCCUUACUUGGGCAUUGAGUCAUCUCAUCCUGGCUAUCCUGCCUUCAUGUCCCCUUCAUCUCCCAUUAGCAGGCCUCCUUGUGCCACACUCUUGACAUGUAUCUUCUUCUGCCUUCAGGAUCUUCUGCCUGGAAAGCUCCUGUCAGACAUCAGAGAGAGCCAACAUUUGAGAUGAUGACAGACACUCUGGAUGACACGCAUCAGAAGCAUUGCUAUUUUUCAGAAAAGGAGAUUUGGGGAUUAUUUGUUACUGCAGUAUAUCCAGACAUUUCUGAGUCAAUACAGAAACGUAGCCAUUUAUUUUUAAACUUUCACAAUAUGAACUGACAACAAUAUAUCAAUUCAUUUUCCAAUUGGCAACUGUUUGAUUAUUCUUUAUGUAAUAGAAUACCUUAUAAAUACCUCCUCAAGAAUGAUGGCUUUGUAUAGAAUAAUAUACCCAAGUAAGAUUUCUAGGUUAAAUGUAAUGGUUAAAAUGUUCAUGUUGUUGAUAUAAAUAUUCAAUAGGAAUUUGAAGAGAUGAUGCACAGGACAGAGAAGCAUGAGAAAUAAUAAUCAUCACAAAACCAAUAUAUUAAUAUAUCUGAAUAAUUAUUGUAUUAGUCCAUUCUCACAUUGAUAUAAAGAAUUACCUGAGACUGGGUUAUUUAUAAAGAAAAGAGGUUUAAUUGACUCACAUUUCCACAGGCUAUAUAGUGCACAUGGCUGGGGAUGCUUCAGGGAGAAGCCAAAGGGGAAACAAGAACAUCUUACACGGCCAACAGGAGAGAGAGAGAAAAAGUGGGGGAGGUGCUACACACUGUUAAACAACCAGAUCGUGUGAGAACUCUAUCAUGAGACAGCACUAGGGGGAUGGUGCUAAUCCAUUAGAAACAACUUCCAUGAUUCAAUCACCUCCCACCAGGCCCCACCUCCAACACUUGGGAUCACAAUUCAAUGUGAGAUUUGGUUGGGGACACAGAGCCAAACCAUAUCAAUUAUUAUAGCAUAUUUGUUGUUCUAAGUAGUUUACCUGUGUAAAAAAUUUAAUCUUAUGGGAUAGGUGCCAAUGCAUUUUCCAUUUUACAGGUGACUUAACUAAAGAACAAAUAAAUUAAUUUGCCCAAGGUCACAUGGCUUGUAAGUGGUAGAAUGAGUAGUUGGAGGCAGCUUGGAAUCUAAGUUGAUAUCCACUCUUUUAUGGAUUCAUAGAGCCAGCCACAUACAUACACACACACACACGCUAAUCUAGGCAAAUAUUCUUCAACACUAAUAAAAUUUAUUGAAGAUCUUAUAAGUAACAACCCUUCUCUUUCCCUCUCCACUCCCCACUAAAAUCCCCUUUCUCAUUCUGACAUAGAAAAGAAAAAAAAAAUCCUAAGGUGUCUAGGUUGUGGGUUUAUCUCCAGUGAUAUACAUAAAAUCAAAAUGUAUCAACUACAAAGAAAAUGUAUAGAAUAUAAAUGUAUAUAAAUCUGAUGGUUCUCAGAUUUAUGAGCAUUCCUAUUCAGAAAAUACUCAUGGUUACCACCUGUUGAC